This is a non-coding RNA of Schistosoma haematobium, 48 nucleotides long. The record is from Rfam. NCBI's taxonomy places the organism in Eukaryota, Metazoa, Platyhelminthes, Trematoda, Strigeidida, Schistosomatidae.
AUCCAAAUGAUGAGUCCAAAAUAAGACGAAACGCGCGUCAGACUGGAU